UGGGGAAUAUUGGACAAUGGGCGCAAGCCUGAUCCAGCCAUGCCGCGUGAGUGAUGAAGGCCUUAGGGUUGUAAAGCUCUUUCGCCAGGGACGAUAAUGACGGUACCUGGAUAAGAAGCCCCGGCUAACUUCGUGCCAGCAGCCGCGGUAAUACGAAGGGGGCUAGCGUUGUUCGGAAUUACUGGGCGUAAAGCGUAUGCAGGCGGACUUUUAAGUCGGGGGUGAAAUCCCGAGGCUCAACCUCGGAACUGCCUUCGAUACUGGAAGUCUUGAGUCCGGGAGAGGUGAGUGGAACUCCGAGUGUAGAGGUGAAAUUCGUAGAUAUUCGGAAGAACACCAGUGGCGAAGGCGGCUCACUGGCCCGGUACUGACGCUGAGAUACGAAAGCGUGGGGAGCAAACAG
This 403-nucleotide ribosomal RNA is filed under the name uncultured bacterium. RNAcentral describes it as "bacterial SSU rRNA". It matches the Rfam family "Bacterial small subunit ribosomal RNA", at positions 355 to 775 of the family's 1533-position model. The record is from RNAcentral.